This 976-nucleotide long non-coding RNA is filed under the name Homo sapiens (human). RNAcentral's name for it is "non-protein coding lnc-CDK11A-2:5". Lineage: Eukaryota; Metazoa; Chordata; Mammalia; Primates; Hominidae. The record is from RNAcentral.
AUCAGAGGAGGAGGAGGAGGAAGAGGAAGAGGAGGAGGAGGAGACCGGCAGCAACUCUGAGGAGGCAUCAGAGCAGUCUGCCGAAGAAGUAAGUGAGGAAGAAAUGAGUGAAGAUGAAGAACGAGAAAAUGAAAACCACCUCUUGGUUGUUCCAGAGUCACGGUUCGACCGAGAUUCCGGGGAGAGUGAAGAAGCAGAGGAAGAAGUGGGGCUGCCGGAGCGUCGAGGAGUUCCAGUGCCUGAACAGGAUCGAGGAGGGCACCUAUGGAGUGGUCUACAGAGCAAAAGACAAGAAAACAGAUGAAAUUGUGGCUCUAAAGCGGCUGAAGAUGGAGAAGGAGAAGGAGGGCUUCCCGAUCACGUCCCUGAGGGAGAUCAACACCAUCCUCAAGGCCCAGCAUCCCAACAUUGUCACCGUUAGAGUGAGCAUGGCCCCACCACGCCUGGCCCCGGGUGGAAGGCUUUUCCGACAGGGCCCCGUGCUGUCCUGGGGCCGGGUGCUUCCUACACUCUCCUGCACUUAGUGGAGCCCUUCACAGACCACACAGAAGCAAGUAUUUGCCUCCCGGGUGGCACCGGAGGUCCUUACUGUCCCUCAGCAUCUGCGCCCGGGUGCAGGGGUGGGUGGGGGCCUGGAGGUGCCCAGCACCCACAGAGCCGUGCCCUGCAGGAGAUUGUGGUGGGCAGCAACAUGGACAAGAUCUACAUCGUGAUGAACUACGUGGAGCACGACCUCAAGAGCCUGAUGGAGACCAUGAAACAGCCCUUCCUGCCAGGUACAGCCGCGCCCCGGGGUCCUGUCUGCGUACAAGUGGGGGCAGUGUCCUGGUCACCCCCGCGGUGACAGUGCUGCAGGGAGGGCCAGCUGCAUCCACAGGGAAAGCCCUGAGAAGCCUCUGUUGCUGCCGAGGCGAGCGGGCCACCCUGAGUGCCCUGGGCUUGGGGCGGCCGGGUCCACAUGGGAGCCUCCCUCCCU